This 1004-nucleotide long non-coding RNA is filed under the name Mytilus galloprovincialis (Mediterranean mussel). The record is from RNAcentral. Lineage: Eukaryota; Metazoa; Mollusca; Bivalvia; Mytilida; Mytilidae.
UUUUUUACCGUGGCUUUUCGCAGGGCUUUGAUUCUAACCUUUUACUGAGCAUUAUUUCACAAUGUAACACUUUAUUAUUCAAUAAUUCAAUAAAAAAUCUAUUCAAUUUAUUGUAACAAAAGUCAGAAUUCUAACAACUUUUUAUGAAUGUAAUACAUAAAGUCAGAGCACAGAACAUAAUAGUAAGAUCUAAAUUUCUUAAAAACAUUAUUUGAUCUGGGCCAUCACACCUUAGAUAUAAGUGAUGGCUAUGCUAACAGAAAUGCAUACAUUUUUAAAGGGGCAUUAGCUGAAAAAUUCGUGUUCACCCAUUUUGACUAAAAUUUCUCAGAUUUGAUUUAUAACAUACUAAAACGUAUAUUUAAAUUACCUAUGUCCAAAAGAAAAAAUAAAAUGAUACAUAGACUCAUAAUAAUGUAUCAGCAUUUUGUGCUAUUUAAACUUGAAUCCAUUUAAUUAUUCAUGGAGAUGAUCUUUAAAGACUGCCCAUGGUCAUAUAAUAAGAUAUAAAUAGACGGGUAGCAGUGACACGCUAAUGGACAAAGAUGAUUUUUGUUGGUCUGUUUGAUUUUAAGUUGUAGAAAAUGUAUGUAUAUCUAUAUUAGUGAUUUACCAAAAUUACAAUGAUUUUUAGGCUGGAUCACUUAAUGUAAUGGCUAUUCCUGAUAAGGUUGAAAUAUUGGCUUGCAAGCCAAUAAAACAUGAACAUUGUUUUAAGCAUAUUUUCACAAAAUUGAACCAAUCUUAUUGCUAACAGCUAAUAUCAUUCUUGUUUUCCCUUUAAUAGAUAUUUGAAACAAAAAAAUUGUUGCUUAUGCCCCUCUAACAAAAAGAAAUUAUGAACUUUGUAAAUAUGAUAUAAUUUCAUAUAUAUUGCACAUUAUAAGAUCUAAGGAAAUAUAAGCACUGUUGCUCCAAAAUUUCGAACCAUUUUUAUAAAUUCUCAGGUUUAUAUCUAUCUUACUGGUAAAUGUCCAACUAGAAAAGAAAAACAUUGGACUUUU